Molecule: ribosomal RNA, 462 nt
Filed under: uncultured bacterium
Lineage: Bacteria
Description: bacterial SSU rRNA
Rfam family: Bacterial small subunit ribosomal RNA
Source: RNAcentral
AUUGAACGCUGGCGGCAUGCCUUACACAUGCAAGUCGAACGGCAGCACGGACUUCGGUCUGGUGGCGAGUGGCGAACGGGUGAGUAAUGUAUCGGAACGUACCUUUCAGUGGGGGAUAACGUAGCGAAAGUUACGCUAAUACCGCAUAUUCUGUGAGCAGGAAAGCAGGGGAUCGCAAGACCUUGCGCUGAUUGAGCGGCCGAUAUCAGAUUAGCUAGUUGGUGGGGUAAAGGCCUACCAAGGCGACGAUCUGUAGCGGGUCUGAGAGGAUGAUCCGCCACACUGGAACUGAGACACGGUCCAGACUCCUACGGGAGGCAGCAGUGGGGAAUUUUGGACAAUGGGGGCAACCCUGAUCCAGCCAUGCCGCGUGAGUGAAGAAGGCCUUCGGGUUGGUUAAAGACUCUUUCGGUCCCGGGGAAGGAAAGUACGCACAGGCUAAUACCCUGUGUGGAUGACGGU